UUCUAUCCUAUUUGGAAUGAGAUUUGGUGUAUCAAUUAUCUUUGGAUUGCAAGGAAUCAUAAUGCCAUUAUUAUGGGAAGAUUCAUUAGAGGUAAGUCCAUAUAAAUACAAGGCUAAGGUCCCAGAUCACAUUCACAACACACAAAAACUUAUAUAAAUGCCCCAUUAGUUUAAGUAUAAAGGAGUGUUGAGUGUGCAUAAGACUUUGGUUUAUUAACAUUUUAUUCCACAAGAUUCCAAUAUGAUUUGCGAUGCAGGAGAAGUCCGUACAUGAUUGAGCCUAUUCCACACGAUUUUGUCAAGAUGAUUCAUCUUUACCAUCUAUAAAUUCUUUUAGGUUAGUGUUUUUAGCUGUUUAUGAAAUAUAUAAAGUUUAACGCAGGCAAGACUGCUGUGGAAAAAACAACUCCACUGGCAGAGAAAGCCAAAGACGUUGCGGUUUCUGCAGGUCAGACCACUCUGCAUUACAUGGAAGAAAGGGCGGUGAAGGCUAAGGACAUGACCUUGGAGGGCGGGAAGACUACGGCGACAUAUGCAAGUGAUGUGGCAAUGAAGGCCAAGGACAUAACUUAGGAGAGUGGGAAGACUGCGGCGGCGUGUGCAGGUGAUGUGGCAGUGGACUUAAAGGACAAGGUGACUGUGGUCGGUUGGACUACAGUGCAGUACACCACUGAAGCAGCAGUGGAAGAGACUAUAAAGACGGCGAAGGUUGUCAUGGGGGCGGCUGAAGAUGCGAGGCAUAAAGUUGUGGAUAUUGUUUCGAAGCCUAUGGGUAUGGCUAAAGAUGCCGCUGUGGUGGCAGGGGAGAAGGCUGGAGUACACUGCCAGGAAGAAGGAGGACGCACAGAAAGAAAAGGAGGCCAAAAGAUCGGCAAUUAAGCAAAAUAAGCUGCAGGGUUACCAGGGUGGACAGGAUAGCAUAAUCGAUUGGAGGGCAAAUGGGAGGAAAAAGAGGGAAGGGAGGAAAGUUGGAUGAAGUCGGCCGUGGCCGUGGCGGAGGAACCAAUGAGGUGUACGUGAGGAGCAUGGACAGCUCUCAAGUGGGAGAGGUUGGUGUGGGGAUGCUGGGAGCAGUCACGGAAACUUCUACUUGAGAUUGGUCAGACGAUAAAAGACAUGCUCAUCGGCGGAGCUGAGUGGCGGCCAGGAAUAAGAAGUGGAAGUCGUCGUCGGCGGAUGAGCCCAAACAGAGAAAUACAAAAGAGUGCCCAAUGGAUUAGGGCCCACUCAACCAGCCUAGUACGUCCAACAACAGCAGUACAACAUGAAGGUGCGAGUCGCGUGAACCUCUGGUCCUAAUAUGCGUGAGAGAUCCUAAAGUGGGACCAUCAACCCACUUGGCUGGCCCUAACAAGUUGUUAGUUGUCACACCCUGAUCACGGUUAAGUUCAGUAUUAUCUU
Molecule: long non-coding RNA, 1401 nt
Organism: Pyrus x bretschneideri (Chinese white pear)
Lineage: Eukaryota; Viridiplantae; Streptophyta; Magnoliopsida; Rosales; Rosaceae
Exons: 2
Source: RefSeq, a predicted model, not a curated record